GAGCCAUCUGUCAGGCACCAGAGGGCAAUUUUCAGGAGAGGAAUUUAUCAUGGUCUGAGUGAGGGGCUGAUGGAGUUCAGCUAAAGCGAGAUGUGACAAGGAUUGUCCAUGUACCCAUGAAAGCAGCUACUUGGCAGUUUUAGCUGGAAGGCCACAAUUUUUGAUUCUGACAGUCUUGUCUUUUUCUGUUCUUCAGCAACGCACUGGAGCUGAUAUAUUCUGAUGCCAGAAUCAGUGAUGUAAGUUAAUCUUUCCUGAGCCAUCGUCUUCUUCCUCUCAAAGAUGUCCUUUUGGGAAUGAUGUCUACAUGUUACAAGUGUAAACAGGGAAGGGGGGCUAGCUCUGUGGUGGGGCACAUGUUUUGCAGGGGGAAGUCCCUUUCAACCUCCCUGUAGGGGUGGAUGAGACCUUUCUCUGUCUAAAACACUGGAGAGUUACGAAUGCUCCCUGUGGACAAUAUUGGACAGAUCUAUGGUCAGAUCCUGCAUAGGGCAGUUUCUUAUGCUUGGAUAUCCACUCUCCACCUCUUUGCUCCCUUGCAGGUUUCCAGUCUUGAAUCCCAUUGCGGCAAAUUGCUGGGAGAAACCGUUUUGCCAGUUUUCAACAGCAACCUUGCUUUUGGAUUCCCUAUACCUUCAAUCUUUGGCGCUGAUCUCAUUAAUCCCACGUUCUUCUUUAUUGAGGUAAGCCAUUACUUUGAAUUGCCAUUAAAUAGUAGUAAUACUGAAAUUAUUCCAGUGGAAUGAUCAAGCAACCCUAUUAGGGAGGUUGGUAAUUUUAACAUGUUUGUGUGUGCUGGAUUGAGGGAAUGAGCUGAAAGUGAAAGGAUGAUGGCUUUUCCAGGGGGAAACUUAAACCAGACUUCCUCUGCCCACUAUUUAAGUUUCAACAUUGCCCUGAAGGGACAGCCAAACCAUCCUGGCUUUCUCCAACUCCACUUGCUUAACACUCUCAAGAAAACAAGGUCCAGAGUUCCAGAUAUGUAUUUCUGAGAUCAGUCCAUGAGGAAGGACUAAAGGAAUGAGUACAA
Molecule: long non-coding RNA, 1030 nt
Filed under: Pogona vitticeps (central bearded dragon)
Lineage: Eukaryota; Metazoa; Chordata; Lepidosauria; Squamata; Agamidae
Description: lncRNA (ENSPVIG00000012185.1)
Source: RNAcentral